RNAcentral lists this ribosomal RNA (600 nucleotides) under uncultured soil bacterium. Its description in RNAcentral is "bacterial SSU rRNA". It matches the Rfam family "Bacterial small subunit ribosomal RNA", at positions 35 to 621 of the family's 1533-position model. The record is from RNAcentral.
GCUGGCGGCGCGCCUAACACAUGCAAGUCGAGCGAGAACCAGGGCUUCGGCCCUGGGGACAGCGGCGAACGGGUGAGUAACACGUGGAUAACCUGCCCUCGGCACCGGAAUAGCCCGGGGAAACCCGGAUUAAUGCCGGAUAGCCCCACAUCCCUGCGGGGAACGUGGGAAAAGGUAGCUUCGGCCUCUGGCCGAGGAUGGGUCCGCGGUGGAUUAGCUUGUUGGCGGGGUAACGGCCCACCAAGGCGACGAUCCAUAGCUGGUCUGAGAGGACGAUCAGCCACACUGGGACUGAGACACGGCCCAGACUCCUACGGGAGGCAGCAGUGGGGAAUCUUGCGCAAUGGGCGAAAGCCUGACGCAGCGACGCCGCGUGCGGGAAGAAGGCCUUCGGGUUGUAAACCGCUUUCAGGAGGGACGAAGCCACUCGGGUUAAUAGCCCAGAGGGUGACGGUACCUCCAGAAGAAGCCCCGGCUAACUACGUGCCAGCAGCCGCGGUAAUACGUAGGGGGCAAGCGUUGUCCGGAUUCAUUGGGCGUAAAGAGCGUGUAGGCGGCCAGGUAGGUCGGUUGUGAAAACUGGAGGCUCAACCUUCAGAG